GACGAACGCUGGCGGCGUGCUUAACACAUGCAAGUCGAACGGAAAGGCCCUGCUUUUGUGGGGUGCUCGAGUGGCGAACGGGUGAGUAACACGUGAGUAACCUGCCCUUGACUUUGGGAUAACUUCAGGAAACUGGGGCUAAUACCGGAUAGGAGCUCCUGCUGCAUGGUGGGGGUUGGAAAGUUUCGGCGGUUGGGGAUGGAUUCGCGGCUUAUCAGCUUGUUGGUGGGGUAGUGGCUUACCAAGGCUUUGACGGGUAGCCGGCCUGGGAGGGUGACCGGCCACAUUGGGACUGAGAUACGGCCCAGACUCCUACGGGAGGCAGCAGUGGGGAAUAUUGCACAAUGGGCGGAAGCCUGAUGCAGCAACGCCGCGUGCGGGAUGACGGCCUUCGGGUUGUAAACCGCUUUCGCCUGUGACGAAGCGUGAGUGACGGUAAUGGGUGAAGAAGCACCGGCUAACUACGUG
Molecule: ribosomal RNA, 468 nt
Filed under: uncultured bacterium
Lineage: Bacteria
Description: partial 16S ribosomal RNA
Rfam family: Bacterial small subunit ribosomal RNA
Source: RNAcentral